This 505-nucleotide ribosomal RNA is filed under the name uncultured bacterium. RNAcentral's name for it is "partial 16S ribosomal RNA". It matches the Rfam family "Bacterial small subunit ribosomal RNA", at positions 28 to 507 of the family's 1533-position model. The record is from RNAcentral.
GACGAACGCUGGCGGCGUGCCUAAUACAUGCAAGUAGAACGCACAGUUUAUACCGUAGCUUGCUACACCAUAGACUGUGAGUUGCGAACGGGUGAGUAACGCGUAGGUAACCUGCCUGGUAGCGGGGGAUAACUAUUGGAAACGAUAGCUAAUACCGCAUAAUAUUGAUUAUUGCAUGAUAAUUGAUUGAAAGAUGCUAUUGCAUCACUACCAGAUGGACCUGCGUUGUAUUAGCUAGUAGGUAAGGUAACGGCUCACCUAGGCGACGAUACAUAGCCGACCUGAGAGGGUGAUCGGCCACACUGGGACUGAGACACGGCCCAGACUCCUACGGGAGGCAGCAGUAGGGAAUCUUCGGCAAUGGACGAAAGUCUGACCGAGCAACGCCGCGUGAGUGAAGAAGGUUUUCGGAUCGUAAAGCUCUGUUGUAAGAGAAGAACGGGUGUGAGAGUGGAAAGUUCACACUGUGACGGUAUCUUACCAGAAAGGGACGGCUAACUACGUG